Non-coding RNA from Tinamus guttatus (white-throated tinamou), 151 nucleotides. The record is from RefSeq and is a predicted model, not a curated record. Lineage: Eukaryota; Metazoa; Chordata; Aves; Tinamiformes; Tinamidae.
CUGUACAAACAUGCUGCAUAUUUUGAACCCUUCCUCCAAAACAGAGCCUUGAGUUUCUUGUUUCCUGCAGUACAACUGCAUCAGAGAUGAAAGAAGAAGACAGAGAGAAUUUCUUUGAUUGCCUGCUUUUUGCCUCCCUGAAAAAUCUGAG